CGCCUGCCCUGUGACAAAAGUUUAACGGCCGCGGUAUUUUGACCGUGCAAAGGUAGCGCAAUCACUUGUCCUUUAAAUGAAGACCUGUAUGAAUGGCAUCACGAGGGCUUAACUGUCUCCUUUUUCCAGUCAAUGAAAUUGAUCUCCCCGUGCAGAAGCGGGGAUAAAACCAUAAGACGAGAAGACCCUAUGAAGCUUUAGACGCAAGACAGAUCUUGUUAAACACUUCAAAAUAAAGAAAUAAACUUAAAGAACCCUGCUCCGAUGUCUUUGGUUGGGGCGACCACGGGGAAACAAAAAACCCCCAUGCGGACUGAGAAAACAAUUCUCACAACCAAGAGCCACAGCUCUAGUUAACAGAAUUUCUGACCUUUAGAUCCGGCAAUGCCGAUCAACGGACCGAGUUACUCUAGGGAUAACAGCGCAAUCCCCUCUUAGAGCUCCUAUCGACGAGGGGGUUUACGACCUCGAUGUUGGAUCAGGACAUCCUAAUGGUGCAGCAGCUAUUAAAGGUUCGUUUGUUCAACGAUUAAAGUCCU
This 539-nucleotide ribosomal RNA is filed under the name Betta livida. Its description in RNAcentral is "partial 16S ribosomal RNA". It matches the Rfam family "Bacterial large subunit ribosomal RNA", at positions 1856 to 2597 of the family's 2925-position model. Lineage: Eukaryota; Metazoa; Chordata; Actinopteri; Anabantiformes; Osphronemidae. The record is from RNAcentral.